This is a long non-coding RNA of Alosa sapidissima (American shad), 1345 nucleotides long. RefSeq lists it as uncharacterized. The transcript has 3 exons. Lineage: Eukaryota; Metazoa; Chordata; Actinopteri; Clupeiformes; Clupeidae. The record is from RefSeq and is a predicted model, not a curated record.
AUGAACCAUUAUCAUUGAAUGAUAUUGACAAACAUUAAAAAUCCACCAGGAGACAAAAUAUUAGCGCAACACACUCGGAAACCAUGACCACCUAUGGAGUUAUAAUAACAUGUAGCUUCUAGUUCUAGAUGCUAACGUUACCGGGUAACGUUAUCUAAAUGUCUGUCUGAUACUACAACCAGAGCCCGUCUUCUCUGCUACAACCAAAAACACCCAGUAACGUUAAGUUACAUGGCUAUAAUAUGAAGCUACCCUGAAUUAAUUAAUAAGAUGUUGUUUGCCAUUAUUAUUACCGUACGUGUGGCUUGUGAAGAGACUAAUUACUUCAACUGUGUUGGCUAAUAUUAGCUGACAAACGUUAGCUGCAACCAUAGUCUAGGCUACAAUCACCACGAAGCAUAUUUAAUUAGCAUUGAUGCUAGCUAUAUGGUCUGCUAAUAUUAACCAGCUUGGUAUGCUCAUUUUAGUUAGUUGUAAAAGUUCGUUUUGUUUCUGUCAGCAGUUCAUACCCAGUGAACAAAGAACUGUGUUUUUAUCUGUCUUUGUGUAUAUUUAACAUGAACAGUAAUUGUAAGUUAAUGUUAGCUAACGUUAGUUAGCAUGAAUGACACAAUUGUUAACCUGUUUGAGGCUGAAUGAAAUUGGCAGGCAGAAUAUCCAUUCAUAUCAUGAAGGGUAGCUUCUACAUCUCUGGGUGGACUUUUAAAAUCCGUCUGGAUAAAACAUUUUUAAAAAAGUUAAAGAUACAUACCUUACGAAAUCGCCUGAUUUCCAUUGCAUGCUGACAACUGGUGGACUGGACGGUUGGAAGAAUAACAAUGUUUUUUCAAAUUCUCAAAUAACUAUGCAGCUGUGUUAAAGUCACCCAGGUGCUGGGUAGUGUACUCCACGUCAGGUGGGAGAGAGGAGGGGCGCUGUCCUAAUCAAUCAACCCAACAUUUCUUCUGUUCACUUGCAGGUUUCAGAGAAGGCUGGUAGAGCUCUCUAUGAGUGUGAGCUGUGGAAGAUAACCAAGAACUGACAACCACCUAAAGAAGAGGUGGCGAUAAAGGCUCUCCAAGAGGAGGUUGUGAGUCUGAAGGCUUUUAUUCAACAAGGAGGCACUUAGAGGGAAUGCCUGGACCCUGAGAGGACUAAGACGAUAAUUGAGGCCACCCUGAAGCAGUUCCCAGGCAAGACACUCACUCCAGAUUGCUGGGCCAGGCAAUAAAUGCCAAAGUGACAGAACUGAGGUUCCAUAACAAAAACAAAGAUUUUCAAUAAAAUAGAAUAAAAGAUAACAGAAGUGUUGUGUGUUUCUUCCUCUUUAUACUGAUACUAUGGUUGAUUUUAAGUAAACACAAUA